GUUGCUGCCAAAAACACAAAAAAGGAGGUUUAAAAAGAUGAAGCCUGCCAGGUGAAGCAGACGCGUCCCUUCGGAGGCUGCCUGCGCCCUCUCCAACAUAGGGCCUUGACCGUGGUUUGACCAAGCCUGCCCAACAGCAGCAGCACGAGGAGAGGCUGCCGAGAGCAGCCCGAGAGGGAGCCCGGCCGGGCCAGGGGGCCCGCGGCAGAGCCAGGCGGGUCCAGGCGAAAGGUGUCGACUCCGGACAAGCCAUUUUCUGCUUCUGCUGCUGCCACAGCUGGACGAGGGGCUCUUUGCGUCAUGGAGCGGAGCUGGAGCGCUCCGACGUGGCCUGCACGUCUUCCCAGACGCGCAUCUAACGCACGUGCUCUUUCUAGCUGGGCAUUAUAGUUUUUAUUCUCAAAAUAACUAAUGGCCGAAGGAAGGAAGGCGGAACGAAGGCAGAGGAGGAAGCAAAGAGCAGUGACCAAGGAGGCUCAGAUAACAUCCUCAGCAGCACUGACCAAACCUCUCCGGUUCGUACGGAGCACGCGAGCUUCGGGCUGCUGCGGUGCAGCGAGGCCCGGAGCUGCUGUGUCCCCGGCCCCACGCAGCAAGGCCUGCAGGGGCUGGGAGUUAAAAGAAGACACCAGAAAAUCCUUUCUCCUGCCAACUGCCCUGCAGCUGGUGCUUUGCAGAAGUAAAAAAGGAUUUGCUCCUCCUGCAAAUCCUUUUUUUGGUGAGUCAUCCUGAUCCGCCCCGGUGGCCGCGCCGGCGGGGAGGCCCACGAGCGAGCACGAAGGACAGCUCGGCAAGGACCUGGCGGAGGCCGCUGCUAAGCGGGGUCUGCUUCCCCUGAGACGCGGGCUCCAUCACUCAAACCUCUCCGCACUUCGGUUCCCCUUCUGCCAGGCGCAGAUUAUAAAUCUGUCCUGACCCCCUUGGCAAGGGAAGGUGCUCAGAGAAGGGGCCUAUAAAUAUGUCAGCUAAGGGGGACACCGGGCCUGGCCUGGAAACCUUGACCUGGAGAGGAGUCCGGCCGGUGCCGUGCCAGCUCCCUGCGUCUCGCAGCACCUCGUGCGAGCGGCGAGG
This 1071-nucleotide long non-coding RNA is filed under the name Struthio camelus australis. Its description in RNAcentral is "lncRNA (ENSSCUG00000010997.1)". Lineage: Eukaryota; Metazoa; Chordata; Aves; Struthioniformes; Struthionidae. The record is from RNAcentral.